GUUUAGCUACUAGCUUAUAGGGUCAAAAUAAGGUCUUAAGUGGGGCCCAAAUGGAGCUCUCUCCACUUCAACUCUGAAAGGAGGUGACGGUAGACCACGACUGCUAGUUCAUGAAUACCCUUAGAUGCGCACGAUAAAACUAAAUGUGCGCAUGUUAAGGGUUUGCAUGAGGUGGGAGACGAGGCUACUUUGAUCUUUUUGGUAUUGGAGUGAAGGGAGCUCCAAAUGGUCUUCCAAACUUUGCUUUUUUUUUUCUUUCUUUUUAUUGAACCUCCUCCCCUGACUCAAACAAAAGCAUGGUGGUGAUCAAACUUUCUGCACAUUUGGUAAAGUCAAGAAUGCCCCAAUUGUCUACUUGCAUUACAAUGUGCAUAUAUGCCUAGAUCGAUAUAUACCAAGUAUUGACAGCAGCCACUUUACGAAGCACCAAGACUCAGCGGCUGCACCGUGCAGAUGUGAUUUCGAUUUUGCCAGAAGUCUUCAUGGCCUAGAAUUAGAACAGAGCUUUUACUUUGUUUGCAUAACAGACAUGUUCCUUCCAACAGCCCAUUUUUCAUGCGACAUCCAUAUUAUUUUUUCGAUGUUCGAUUA
Prunus persica (peach) is the source of this 591-nucleotide long non-coding RNA. RefSeq lists it as uncharacterized. The transcript is spliced from 2 exons. Lineage: Eukaryota; Viridiplantae; Streptophyta; Magnoliopsida; Rosales; Rosaceae. The record is from RefSeq and is a predicted model, not a curated record.